UGUAACAUACAUUAAAAAUAAGAGAUUGUACCAACAAAAAGUUAUGUGGAGGACAAAAAUAAUACCCACUAUCACCUGCUGCAAAAUUGGCAUUAAAAAAUCAACAAUUUCAAUGUUCAUUUUGGUUAUGAUUUCAUGCAAAAGAUGAUAAUUUAACAAUCAAAGGCCAGGGACAAGUCUCAAUCAACAGAGCCUUCAAUUUUACAAGGAAAAUGGCUCGCAAUCACUAGAUGCACUAGUAGAGUAACUUAUUGCAGUUGCACUUAUGACCGAAACAGAGCAAAUUGAGUAAGAGAUUUGGAAGGAAAUAUUGACACAACAAUUUGAUGAGUAUUAGAAAGAGAACGAUAUUUAAAGAAUUGUAGUCCUAUUAUCAGAUGGAAACUGUUUGAGAUUUUAUUAUCACGUUAUAUCAUUUCUUCAAUAAAAAUGAAUGACUAAUUAUUAGACCAGGUAAAAGUAUUCAUCACGACAAAAUGUUUAUUGAGGCAAAUGCGUUAAACGAAGAAGCACUUAUGCUUAUUUUAGCGAAUAUGGGUUAAAAGGGGAAUAAAACCCUCUCUGAUAUAAGCUGCAAAGCGAGUUGAUAUGACCAAUUCAGCUUUGAGAAUUGAAUGCAUGCAACAGGAUAGAGCAAAAAAUUGUAUGGAGACUAUAGAGAUU
Hydra vulgaris (swiftwater hydra) is the source of this 663-nucleotide long non-coding RNA. RefSeq lists it as uncharacterized. NCBI's taxonomy places the organism in Eukaryota, Metazoa, Cnidaria, Hydrozoa, Anthoathecata, Hydridae. The record is from RefSeq and is a predicted model, not a curated record.